This 372-nucleotide ribosomal RNA is filed under the name alpha proteobacterium BAL91. Its description in RNAcentral is "bacterial SSU rRNA". It matches the Rfam family "Bacterial small subunit ribosomal RNA", at positions 66 to 484 of the family's 1533-position model. The record is from RNAcentral. Lineage: Bacteria; Pseudomonadati; Pseudomonadota; Alphaproteobacteria.
ACGGGCACUUCGGUGCUAGUGGCAGACGGGUGAGUAACACGUGGGAACGUACCUUUCGGUUCGGAAUAAUUCAGGGAAACUUGGACUAAUACCGGCUACGCCCUUCGGGGGAAAGAUUUAUCGCCGAAAGAUCGGCCCGCGUCUGAUUAGCUAGUUGGUGAGGUAAAGGCUCACCAAGGCGACGAUCAGUAGCUGGUCUGAGAGGAUGAUCAGCCACAUUGGGACUGAGACACGGCCCAAACUCCUACGGGAGGCAGCAGUGGGGAAUAUUGGACAAUGGGCGAAAGCCUGAUCCAGCCAUGCCGCGUGAGUGAUGAAGGCCUUAGGGUUGUAAAGCUCUUUUGUCCGGGAAGAUAAUGACUGUACCGGAAG